RNAcentral lists this ribosomal RNA (253 nucleotides) under uncultured bacterium. RNAcentral's name for it is "partial 16S ribosomal RNA". It matches the Rfam family "Bacterial small subunit ribosomal RNA", at positions 524 to 776 of the family's 1533-position model. The record is from RNAcentral.
GACGAACCGGACAAACGUUAUUCGGAAUUACUGGGCUUAAAGGGUUUGUAGGCGGCCUUGUAAGUCAGGUGUGAAAUCCCUCGGCUCAACCGAGGAAUGGCGCUUGAUACUGCACGGCUUGAGGGAGACAGGGGUAAGCGGAACUGAUGGUGGAGCGGUGAAAUGCGUUGAUAUCAUCAGGAACACCGGUGGCGAAAGCGGCUUACUGGGUCUCUUCUGACGCUGAGGAACGAAAGCUAGGGGAGCGAACGGG